Molecule: ribosomal RNA, 253 nt
Filed under: uncultured bacterium
Lineage: Bacteria
Description: partial 16S ribosomal RNA
Rfam family: Bacterial small subunit ribosomal RNA
Source: RNAcentral
UACGUAGGGUGCAAGCGUUAUUCGGAAUUACUGGGCGUAAAGCGUGCGCAGGCGGUUUUGUAAGUCAGAUGUGAAAUCCCCGGGCUUAACCUGGGAACUGCGUUUGAAACUACAAGGCUAGAGUGUGGCAGAGGGGAGUGGAAUUCCACGUGUAGCAGUGAAAUGCGUAGAGAUGUGGAGGAACACCGAUGGCGAAGGCAGCCCCCUGGGUUAACACUGACGCUCAGGCACGAAAGCGUGGGGAGCAAACAGG